GAUGAACGCCGGUCGGUGUCGCCGUAAGUACAUGCAAGUCGUACGCACUGGCCCAACUGGAUUGGAUAGGGUGCUUGCACCUGAUUGACGAUGGAUCACCAGUGAGUGGCGGACGGGUGAGUAACACGUAGGUAACCUGCCCCGGAGCGGGGGAUAACAUUUGGAAACAGAUGCUAAUACCGCAUAACAACAAAAGCCGCAUGGUUUUUGUUUGAAAGAUGGCUUUGGCUAUCACUCUGGGAUGGACCUGCGGUGCAUUAGCUAGUUGGUAAGGUAACGGCUUACCAAGGCGAUGAUGCAUAGCCGAGUUGAGAGACUGAUCGGCCACAAUGGAACUGAGACACGGUCCAU
This 351-nucleotide ribosomal RNA is filed under the name uncultured bacterium. RNAcentral's name for it is "bacterial SSU rRNA". It matches the Rfam family "Bacterial small subunit ribosomal RNA", at positions 35 to 334 of the family's 1533-position model. The record is from RNAcentral.